Small nuclear RNA from Rattus norvegicus (Norway rat), 155 nucleotides. Ensembl annotates it as U1 spliceosomal RNA. NCBI's taxonomy places the organism in Eukaryota, Metazoa, Chordata, Mammalia, Rodentia, Muridae. The record is from Ensembl.
GUGUUUACUCAGCAGAGGAGGUACCAUGGUCUCAAGGGUGGUUUUCCCAGGGUGGGGCUUACCCAUUGUCCUCUGGACGUGCUGACCCGGGUGAGUUCCCCACUGUGAGAAAGUAACUGCAUUGUUUAUGGAGUCUGUAUUCAUAUUUUCACCUA